Molecule: RNA transcript, 5961 nt
Organism: Ylistrum balloti
Lineage: Eukaryota; Metazoa; Mollusca; Bivalvia; Pectinida; Pectinidae
Gene name: 6-phosphofructo-2-kinase/fructose-2,6-bisphosphatase-like
Exons: 15
Source: RefSeq, a predicted model, not a curated record
AAUUUGUAUUACAGAUAUGAAUAUGACAUUUUUAUUUUCCUUGUGUGAAGAAGACAUCUUUCUAGGUUUUUAAAUGUAAUUAGAAUGUGUUUUCUGGUGAGGAUAACAUAUUGUAGCAGGGGCUUUUCUUGGUGAUAUAAAUAGAACUGCUUGUGUACUUCACAGCAAAAAAUCUGAAGUUCUUCCUCCAAUGCUUGCACACUCUGUGGGAGCAAUCAGCUGAUGUUGACAAGGAUAGGUACAUUUGUAUAGCAACAAGGGAAAGUGUGCAGCCAUCCAUACUCGGGUCACUUUAGCCAUGGUCGUUGAACACAGAAUAUAUCUGUAUCUACACUCGUUCAAUAUCCGGAUUCACAGUGUAGUACACUGAUAUACACCAGGACUGUUAAGGUUUGGUAGAGGCUUCCUGUACUGGUGAAGAUUUAGCAUUUGAAAUCGUACAUGGAAGUGUGUGUAGUUAACGACUUCCUUGUAAACCACAUUAUUUGGGAAUUUAUUGCAGAGCAUAUAUAAAAUACGACCAGUGUUUGUUGGUGGUUCAAUGUGUUCUUGCUUAAGUCACGAUAUCAUUCUGCAUGACCACAUCUGGGGUACAGCAUCAUGUCCCCAUGUGGUAAAAGCUCCGAUCGUCAUUGCGAUGGUCGGACUUCCUGCACGAGGCAAGACGUAUAUGUCCAAAAAACUCACAAGAUAUCUCAACUGGAUUGGGAUCCGUACCAGAGUAUUUAACGUGGGCGAAUACAGAAGAGCAGCUACAGAUAAAUACAGAAGUCAUGAUUUCUUUAGAGCAGACAACAAGGAAGCCCUAGAAAUAAGACAAAAAUGUGCAAUGAUGGCUAUAGAUGAUGCUACAAAAUUCCUGAAGAGUGGCGGGGGAGAAGUGGCAGUUCUGGAUGCCACGAAUACAACGCGAUGCAGACGGAAGCUAUUGGUUGAUAUGAUACAUGUAGAAAACAAAUUCAAACUUUUCUUUGUGGAAUCUAUCUGUGAUGACCCUGGUAUCAUAGAGGCCAAUAUAGUAGAAGUGAAGGUUUGUAGCCCAGACUACAAUGGUAUGGAUCAGACUGAGGCUAUAGCAGAUUUCUUACAGAGAAUCCAACACUACAACGAGACUUAUGAACCCCUCUGUCACAAACAUGACAAGGAUCUCUCCUUCAUCCAGAUUUUCAAUCAAGGCGAGAGGUUUCAUGUUAAUAAACUAGCAGGGCAUUUACAGAGUAGAGUUGUAUAUUAUCUGAUGAAUAUUCAUGUGCUGCCCAGAACAAUCUAUUUGACACGGCAUGGAGAGAGUAUGAUGAAUCUAAAUGGAAGGAUAGGAGGGGACAGUGACUUAUCUGGCCGUGGUGAUGAAUAUGCUGAUGCUCUUGCCAAAUAUGUUGAGGAGGAAAAGAUUCCCAACCUGAAGGUUUGGACAAGUGAACUGAAGCGUACUAAGCAGACCGGCAAAUACCUAACAGCUCCCAUUGAGCACUGGAAGGCUCUAAAUGAAAUUGAUGCUGGUAUUUGUGAAGGAAUGACGUACGAAGAAAUCCAGGAGAAGUAUCCAGAGGAGUUCGCAAUGCGAGACCAGGACAAAUUCCAUUAUCGGUAUCCAAGUGGAGAGUCUUACCAAGAUUUAGUGGCUAGACUGGAGCCAGUGAUAAUGGAACUUGAGCGACAGGAGAAUGUGUUGGUGAUCUGUCAUCAGGCUGUGGCGCGGUGUCUGCUGGCCUAUUUCCAAGACAAAACCUCAGAGGAAAUCCCCUAUGUUCCUGUCCCCCAAGAGGCUGUCGUGAAAAUGCACAUGACUGGACAUGGCUGUGAAUGUGAAAAUAAUCUGCUGCUAAGCCGACCUCGCGUACCUGAAGGUCCCACUCCACACAGUCAUCAAACUAACACCGGUGGCUUAUGGCUGUAAGAUUGAGUUUGUUGCCCUGAAUGUAGAUGCAGUCAACACUCACAGGGAGCGUCCUCAGUGUACACUGACCCAGAGGAGUAGGGAUGAAGCCCUUCAGACCGUACCAGCUCACUACUGACUGCUACGGACUGCUACGGACUGCUGAUGUGGUGUACCAGAGGGAAGGAUCUCGCUUACCUGUUCCAAAUUCUCUUAUCAUUCUGUGUUCAUGAUUACACCUCUUAACAAUUCACUUUGUUUUCUUUUAACGGAUUGUUAGAUUAUGUUCAGAAUGUGUGGUAUCGUAUUGAUGAUAAUUUUUUCUCUUAAAUACAUUAAUAAAUUGGUUCAUAAAUUGAACAGGAUCUUGACUUUGCCAGACCUUUCAAUUUUACUCUCCUUGUCUGGCCACACAUGAUAUAAAGUGAAUAUUUAGAAUAUCUAUCUUGGGUGUUUAUGAUGUUUUUUAUACUAGAGGGUGUAAAUAAUAAUUAUCUGCAUGCUUUUAGGUUUUAUCUUUGUUAUCAUUAUUAAAUAUGUUAUCAUAGUAAGAGGGUAAAUUUUAGAAAGGUAUUUAGCAAAUUGACAGGGGAGAUAACUCUUAAAAUAUAAUGUUUAGAGCUAAAAAUCCACCACCAUAUAAUAGUAAAUGCAUUUGAUCUCAAUGAUAUUGUCUGUAGAUAUAAUAAUAUAAAUUUAUUAACAUUUCCUGCUGAACACCUGGUGCUUCUGUAGUUCUUGUCUGGAUGUGUUUGAUGAAAUCCCUUAUUUUGAUAUUUGGAAGAAAUGAAUCGAAUUUAAAUUACAGUUUUGAAGGCCUAGCUAACUAGGUCAAUGUUUCUAUCUAUAAAAAUUAUAGCCCAAUUUAGUUAUUUAAUACAAGGUACUAUUAUGGAAAUUGAACUCUUUAGAGAAGAUUGCAGGAAGUUGAUUUUGUGGAGCUGUGGAUGCAUUUAUUGAUUGUUAAAGUUGAAUCAGUUCUUUAAUUCAUUUAGAAAUUCCAACAAUUCCCAGGUGAAUUGGCAAGGACAUCUAAUAUUUAUAACAAAGUGUAGUUAAUUACUUAUACAGAUAUUCAAUAUAUGAUCAGUUGUGAGAAUUGUUUUUAAUAUGUUUUAUUAAUGUGUAUGGGGUAUCUGUGAUACUUCAUUUGUCUGGACUAAAGUACUACAGUUUGCUAAGUGUCAAAGUUCAGGCAGAGAGACAGGCUAAGUUUUACUAUAGCUAUAGUAUAAACAUAUUUAUACAAGGUCUUAUAUCAUUUAAAACUAUGUCUUUUAUCCAUGUAGAAAGGUUUUAUAUCCAGAAUGUAUGUUUUUGUUCAUGAAGCCUUUACAUUGAAUUGUUUAAAUAGCUCAAAUCUAUUUUUAACCAAAAGUUAUGACAUGUAAUUGUUUUAUAAAUGUGUAUAAUGUUUGCUCUUCUGAAAGUAAACAUUCUUUUUAGUUUAAGAUAAGAUUGUGAAAAGUGUUUGAAUGGUCAGUUAAGAUAGAGUAUGAAUAAGUUCCUGAGAGAGUGUAUGUAUAAGGCCAGGAUAUGAUUGGGUUUCUGAGAGAGUGUAUGGAUAAGGCCAGGAUAUGAUUGGGUUUCUGAGAGAGUGUAUGGAUAAGGCCAGGAUAUGAUUGGGUUUCUGAGAGAGUGUAUGGAUAAGGCCAGGAUAUGAUUGGGUUUCUGAGAGAGUGUAUGGAUAAGGCCAGGAUAUGAUUGGGACUCUGAGAGAGUGUAUGGAUAAGGCCAGGAUAUGAAUGAGUUUCUGAGAGAGUAUAUAGAUAAGGACAGGAUAUGAUGGGGUUUCUGAGAGAGUGUAUAGAUAAGGCCAGGAUAUGAAUGAGUUUCUGAGAGAGUAUAUGUAUAAGGACAGGAUAUGAUUGUGUUUCUGAGAGAGUGUAUGUAUAAGGACAGGAUAUGUUAGGAUUUCUGAGAGAGUAUAUAGAUAAGGCCAGGAUAUGAUUGUGUUUCUUAGAGAAUAUAUAGAUAAGGACAGGAUAUGAUUGUGUUUCUUAGAGAAUAUAUAGAUAAGGACAAGAUAUGAUUGGGUUUCUGAGAGAGUGUAUGGAUAAGGACAGGAUAUGAUUGGGUUUCAGAGAGAGUAUAUGUAUAAGGACAAGAUAUGAUUGGGACUCUGAGAGAGUAUAUGUAUAAGGACAGGAUAUGAUUAGGUUUCUGAGAGAGUAUAUAGAUAAGGACAAGAUAUGAUUGGGACUCUGAGAGAGUAUAUGUAUAAGGACAGGAUAUGAUUAGGUUUCUGAGAGAGUAUAUAGAUAAGGACAAGAUAUGAUUGGGUUUCUGAGAGAGUAUAUGUAUAAGGACAGGAUAUGAUUUGGUUUCUGAGAGAGUGUAUGUAUAAGGACAGGAUAUGUUAGGGUUUCUGAGAGAGUGUAUGUAUAAGGACAUGAUAUGAUUGGGUUUCUUAGAGAGUAUAUAGAUAAGGACAAGAUAUGAUUGGGUUUCUGAGAGAGUGUAUGUAUAAGGACAGGAUAUGAUUGGGACUCUGAGAGAGUGUAUGGAUAAGGCCAGGAUAUGAUUGGGUUUCAGAGAGAGUAUAUGUAUAAGGACAGGAUAUGAUUGGGUUUCUGAGAGAGUGUAUGGAUAAGGCCAGGAUAUGAUUGGGUUUCUGAGAGAGUGUAUGGAUAAGGCCAGGAUAUGAUUGGGGUUCAGAGAGAGUAUAGGUAUAAGGCCAGGAUAUGAUUGGGUUUCUGAGAGAGUGUAUGGAUAAGGCCAGGAUAUGAUUGGGUUUCUGAGAGAGUGUAUGGAUAAGGCCAGGAUAUGAUUGGGACUCUGAGAGAGUGUAUGGAUAAGGCCAGGAUAUGAAUGAGUUUCUGAGAGAGUAUAUGUAUAAGGACAGGAUAUGAUGGGGUUUCUGAGAGAGUGUAUGGAUAAGGCCAGGGUAUGAUUGGGUUUCUGAGUGAGUAUAUAGAUAAGGACAAGAUAUGAUUCGGUUUCUGAGAGAGUGUAUGUAUAAGGACAGGAUACGAUUGGGUUUCUGAGAGAGUAUAUAGAUAAGGACAGGAUAUGAUUGGGACUCUGAGAGAGUAUAUGUAUAAGGACAGGAUAUGAUUGGGUUUCUGAGAGAGUGUAUGUAUAAGGACAGGAUAUGUUAGGGUUUCUGAGAGAGUAUAUAGAUAAGGACAAGAUAUGAUUGGGUUUCUUAGAGAAUAUAUAGAUAAGGACAUGAUAUGAUUGGGUUUCUGAGAGAGUGUAUGUAUAAGGACAGGAUAUGAUUGGGUUUCUGAGAGAGUAUAUAGAUAAGGACAUGAUAUGAUUGGGUUUCUGAGUGAGUAUAUGUAUAAGGCCAGGAUAUGAUUUGGUUUCUGAGAGAGUAUAUGUAUAAGGCCAGGAUAUGAUUGGGUUAUUUACUGUUUUAGUGAAUGUUGUGUGUGUUAUUUAUUUGCCAUCCUAUUAUCCAGGUUUGCUGUAGCUAUUUUAUCUGUUGACAAUGUGAAACAUUCUAAUUUUUAAUUUUUUUUUAUUAUAUAGUUGUGAUAUUAUAAUUUCUUGAUGAGAUAUAUUCCGUGAUAUGUUAGAUGAAUAGAAAUAUCCUGAUUUUCUGUGUUUAUAAAUGAAAAUGGUUACUGUCAGUGUAUGAAUUGAAGCCAAAUGAUGUACAGAAUUUUAUCUUGUUAAAUGGAAACUGAGAGCAGCUAUAAUACAGAAAUUUUAUAAAUUAUUUUUCAAUAAUUGUACUAAGAUUAAAAUAAAAGAGUAGAAUCAUCUUGUGAAUAAUUAUGAAUCCUGCUAACAUUAGCAGCCUACUAGCUACAAGUCUGUUUUUAUGAUAUGACAAUGGUGCCAUAAUGUUGUGAUGUCACUGCUGAUACAGUUGUAACUGCCACUGCCAGACUGGCUGGGAGUAAUUAAACAUGUGUUGACAACACAUGUAUUUCCACUUACUACAGAGUUAGUGUAUGAUAUAUUUCUAAUGAUACAGAAUCGGUACAAUUAUGUGAUAUAUAUAACUAAUGAUACAGAAUCGGUACAAUUAUGUGAUAUAUAUAACUAAUGAUACAGAAUCGGUACAAUUAUGUGAUAUAUAUAACUAAUGGUUAUAGAUUUGUUGAAAAUAAAAAAUCAGAUUCCUUUUAAAA